Peromyscus maniculatus bairdii (prairie deer mouse) is the source of this 161-nucleotide small nuclear RNA. Its record names the gene U1. It matches the Rfam family "U1 spliceosomal RNA". From Rfam's summary of the family: U1 is a small nuclear RNA (snRNA) component of the spliceosome (involved in pre-mRNA splicing). Its 5' end forms complementary base pairs with the 5' splice junction, thus defining the 5' donor site of an intron. NCBI's taxonomy places the organism in Eukaryota, Metazoa, Chordata, Mammalia, Rodentia, Cricetidae. The record is from Ensembl.
AUGUUUACCUGUCAGGGGAGAUACCAUGAUCACAAAGCGGUUUUACAGGACAAGGUGCAUGCAUUGCACUGCAGAUUUGUUCAUCUUUGCAAUUUCUCCAUAUGCACAGAACUCAUCUACAUAAUUUGGGUAGUGGGAGACUUCAAUUUGCACUUCUCCCU